GGGCGCAGCCUGAUGGAGCACACCGCGUGAGUGAAGAAGGGUUUCGGCUCGUAAAGCUCUGUUGUUGGAGAAGAACGUGCGUGAGAGUAACUGUUCACGCAGUGACGGUAUCCAACCAGAAAGUCACGGCUAACUACGUGCCAGCAGCCGCGGUAAUACGUAGGUGGCAAGCGUUAUCCGGAUUUAUUGGGCGUAAAGCGAGCGCAGGCGGUUGCUUAGGUCUGAUGUGAAAGCCUUCGGCUUAACCGAAGAAGUGCAUCGGAAACCGGGCGACUUGAGUGCAGAAGAGGACAGUGGAACUCCAUGUGUAGCGGUGGAAUGCGUAGAUAUAUGGAAGAACACCAGUGGCGAAGGCGGCUGUCUGGUCUGCAACUGACGCUGAAGCUCGAAAGCAUGGGUAGCGAACAGGAUUAGAUACCCUGGGAGUCCAUGGCGUAAACGAUGAGUGCUAGGUGGUGGAAGGGUUUCCGCCCUCAAGGGCGGAACUUAAGGCAUUAAGCCAUCCCGCUGGGGAAUAC
This 518-nucleotide ribosomal RNA is filed under the name Limosilactobacillus reuteri. Its description in RNAcentral is "bacterial SSU rRNA". It matches the Rfam family "Bacterial small subunit ribosomal RNA", at positions 373 to 883 of the family's 1533-position model. The record is from RNAcentral. Lineage: Bacteria; Bacillati; Bacillota; Bacilli; Lactobacillales; Lactobacillaceae.